RNAcentral lists this ribosomal RNA (498 nucleotides) under uncultured bacterium. RNAcentral describes it as "partial 16S ribosomal RNA". It matches the Rfam family "Bacterial small subunit ribosomal RNA", at positions 30 to 523 of the family's 1533-position model. The record is from RNAcentral.
AUUGAACGCUGGCGGCAUGCCUUACACAUGCAGGUCGAACGGUAACAGGUCUUCGGACGCUGACGAGUGGCGAACGGGUGAGUAAUACAUCGGAACGUGCCCAGUCGUGGGGGAUAACUACUCGAAAGAGUAGCUAAUACCGCAUACGAUCUGAGGAUGAAAGCGGGGGACCUUCGGGCCUCGCGCGAUUGGAGCGGCCGAUGGCAGAUUAAGUAGUUGGUGGGAUAAAAGCUUACCAAGCCGACGAUCUGUAGCUGGUCUGAGAGGACGACCAGCCACACUGGGACUGAGACACGGCCCAGACUCCUACGGGAGGCAGCAGUGGGGAAUUUUGGACAAUGGGCGAAAGCCUGAUCCAGCAAUGCCGCGUGCAGGAUGAAGGCCUUCGGGUUGUAAACUGCUUUUGUACGGAACGAAAAAGUCUCCUCUAAUACAGGAGGCCCAUGACGGUACCGUAAGAAUAAGCACCGGCUAACUACGUGCCAGCAGCCGCCGCCG